GGGGAAUAUUGGACAAUGGGCGCAACCCUGAUCCAGCCAUGCCGCGUGAGUGAAGAAGGCCUUCGGGUUGUAAAGCUCUUUCGGAGGGGAAGAAAUGGCAACGGCUAAUAUCCGCUGUUGAUGACGGUACUCGAACACGAAGUGCCGGCUAACUACGUGCCAGCAGCCGCGGUAAUACGUAGGGUGCGAGCGUUAAUCGGAAUUACUGGGCGUAAAGCGUGCGCAGGCGGUUUCGUAAGACAGACGUGAAAUCCCCGGGCUCAACCUGGGAACUGCGUUUGUGACUGCGAGGCUAGAGUACGGCAGAGGGGGGUAGAAUUUCCUGUGUAGCGGUGAAAUGCGUAGAUAUAGGAAGGAACACCAGUGGCGAAGGCGACCACCUGGACUGAUACUGACACUGAGGUGCGAAAGCGUGGGGAGCAAACA
This 426-nucleotide ribosomal RNA is filed under the name uncultured Azospira sp. RNAcentral's name for it is "bacterial SSU rRNA". It matches the Rfam family "Bacterial small subunit ribosomal RNA", at positions 356 to 774 of the family's 1533-position model. The record is from RNAcentral. Lineage: Bacteria; Pseudomonadati; Pseudomonadota; Betaproteobacteria; Rhodocyclales; Rhodocyclaceae.